This 119-nucleotide small nuclear RNA is filed under the name Myotis brandtii (Brandt's bat). Its description in RNAcentral is "U4 spliceosomal RNA". It matches the Rfam family "U4 spliceosomal RNA". Rfam says of the family: U4 small nuclear RNA (U4 snRNA) is a component of the major U2-dependent spliceosome. The record is from Rfam by way of RNAcentral. Lineage: Eukaryota; Metazoa; Chordata; Mammalia; Chiroptera; Vespertilionidae.
AGCUUUGCACAGUUGCAGUAUCGUAGCCAAUGAGGUUUAUCCAAGGUGUGAUUAUUGCUAAUUUAGAAAUAAUAAUAAUAAUAAUAAUAAUAAAACUAUUAUGAUACCAUAACACUGUG